GGGUGCUAUANUGCAGUCGAGCGAACAGACGAGGAGCUUGCUCCUCUGACGUUAGCGGCGGACGGGUGAGUAACACGUGGAUAACCUACCUAUAAGACUGGGAUAACUUCGGGAAACCGGAGCUAAUACCGGAUAACAUGUUGAACCGCAUGGUUCAACAGUGAAAGACGGUCUUGCUGUCACUUAUAGAUGGAUCCGCGCCGCAUUAGCUAGUUGGUAAGGUAACGGCUUACCAAGGCAACGAUGCGUAGCCGACCUGAGAGGGUGAUCGGCCACACUGGAACUGAGACACGGUCCAGACUCCUACGGGAGGCAGCAGUAGGGAAUCUUCCGCAAUGGGCGAAAGCCUGACGGAGCAACGCCGCGUGAGUGAAGAAGGUCUUCGGAUCGUAAAACUCUGUUAUUAGGGAAGAACAAUGUGUAAGUAACUAUGCACGUCUUGACGGUACCUAAUCAGAAAGCCACGGCUAACUACGUGCCAGCAGCCGCGGUAAUACGUAGGUGGCAAGCGUUAUCCGGAAUUAUUGGGCGUAAAGCGCGCGUAGGCGGUUUUUUAAGUCUGAUGUGAAAGCCCACGGCUCAACCGUGGAGGGUCAUUGGAAACUGGAAAACUUGAGUGCAGAAGAGGAAAGUGGAAUUCCAUGUGUAGCGGUGAAAUGCGCAGAGAUAUGGAGGAACACCAGUGGCGAAGGCGACUUUCUGGUCUGUAACUGACGCUGAUGUGCGAAAGCGUGGGGAUCAAACAGGAUUAGAUACCCUGGUAGUCCACGCCGUAAACGAUGAGUGCUAAGUGUUAGGGGGUUUCCGCCCCUUAGUGCUGCAGCUAACGCAUUAAGCACUCCGCCUGGGGAGUACGACCGCAAGGUUGAAACUCAAAGGAAUUGACGGGGACCCGCACAAGCGGUGGAGCAUGUGGUUUAAUUCGAAGCAACGCGAAGAACCUUACCAAAUCUUGACAUCCUCUGACCCCUCUAGAGAUAGAGUUUUCCCCUUCGGGGGACAGAGUGACAGGUGGUGCAUGGUUGUCGUCAGCUCGUGUCGUGAGAUGUUGGGUUAAGUCCCGCAACGAGCGCAACCCUUAAGCUUAGUUGCCAUCAUUAAGUUGGGCACUCUAAGUUGACUGCCGGUGACAAACCGGAGGAAGGUGGGGAUGACGUCAAAUCAUCAUGCCCCUUAUGAUUUGGGCUACACACGUGCUACAAUGGACAAUACAAAGGGUAGCGAAACCGCGAGGUCAAGCAAAUCCCAUAAAGUUGUUCUCAGUUCGGAUUGUAGUCUGCAACUCGACUACAUGAAGCUGGAAUCGCUAGUAAUCGUAGAUCAGCAUGCUAC
Molecule: ribosomal RNA, 1332 nt
Filed under: Staphylococcus sp.
Lineage: Bacteria; Bacillati; Bacillota; Bacilli; Caryophanales; Staphylococcaceae
Description: bacterial SSU rRNA
Rfam family: Bacterial small subunit ribosomal RNA
Source: RNAcentral